GUGGAUUAGAUACCCUGGUAGUCCACGCUGUAAACGUUGGGCGCUAGGUGUGGGGUCCUUCCACGGAUUCCGUGCCGCAGCUAACGCAUUAAGCGCCCCGCCUGGGGAGUACGGCCGCAAGGCUAAAACUCAAAGGAAUUGACGGGGGCCCGCACAAGCGGCGGAGCAUGUUGCUUAAUUCGACGCAACGCGAAGAACCUUACCAAGGUUUGACAUGCAGGGAAAAGCCGUAGAGAUACGGUGUCCGUAAGGGUCCUGCACAGGUGGUGCACGGUUGUCGUCAACU
RNAcentral lists this ribosomal RNA (286 nucleotides) under uncultured bacterium. RNAcentral's name for it is "partial 16S ribosomal RNA". It matches the Rfam family "Bacterial small subunit ribosomal RNA", at positions 773 to 1060 of the family's 1533-position model. The record is from RNAcentral.